UCAGGUGGCUGGAUGGCCGCGGCUGGACGGGCAACCGCACAGUCGAGGAAAGUCCGGGCUCCACGGAAACACGGUGCCGGAUAACGUCCGGCGGGGGCGACCCCAGGGACAGUGCCACAGAGAAGAGACCGCCCACCGGGGUUCGCCCCGAGGCAAGGGUGAAACGGUGCGGUAAGAGCGCACCGCGCGACCGGCAACGGAAGCGGCAUGGCAAACCCCACCGGGAGCAAGACCAAAUAGGGGCGGCACGCCGGGCAACCGGCACGCGGGUUUCCGCGCCGUCGCCCGGGUCGGUCGCGUGAGGCGUCUGGCGACAGACGUCCCAGAGGAAUGGCCAUCCAGCGCCCUCGGGCGCGGACAGAACCCGGCUUACAGGCCACCUGACCCG
Molecule: RNase P RNA, 388 nt
Filed under: Alphaproteobacteria bacterium
Lineage: Bacteria; Pseudomonadati; Pseudomonadota; Alphaproteobacteria
Description: RNase P RNA component class A
Rfam family: Bacterial RNase P class A
About the family: Ribonuclease P (RNase P) is a ubiquitous endoribonuclease, found in archaea, bacteria and eukarya as well as chloroplasts and mitochondria. Its best characterised activity is the generation of mature 5'-ends of tRNAs by cleaving the 5'-leader elements of precursor-tRNAs.
Source: RNAcentral